UGAAUACGAGAUGCUACGGCGUCGAAGCAGUGUAUGUCAGACUUCCAAGAAAAGCUCGCAAUGUCAUAAAUAAAGAAUGCCUGUACCAUAACCGACACAGGUGGGUAGGUAGAGUAUACUAAGGGGCGCGAGAUAACUCUCUCUAAGGAACUCGGCAAAAUAACUCCGUAACUUCGGGAGAAGGAGUGCCUUCUUUAAGAAGGUUGCAAUAACAAGAUCCAAGCAACUGUUUAUCAAAAACACAGGUCUCCGCUAAGUCGUAAGACGAUGUAUGGGGGCUGACGCCUGCCCAGUGCCAGAAGGUUAAAGAAGCUGGUUAGCAAUAGCGAAGCUGGUGACUGAAGCCCUGGUGAACGGCGGCCGUAACUAUAACGGUCCUAAGGUAGCGAAAUUCCUUGUCUGGUAAGUUCCGACCCGCACGAAAGGCGUAAUGAUUUGGGUACUGUCUCGGAGAGGGACUCGGUGAAAUAGACUUGUCUGUGAAGAUGCGGACUACCUGCACCAGGACAGAAAGACCCUAUGAAGCUUUACUGUAACCUGAAAUUGAAAUUGGACUUUAUUUGCGCAGUAUAGGUGGGAGGCGUUGAAAGUAAUCUUGCGGGAUUAGUGGAGCCAUCAGUGAGAUACCACUCCUAUAAUGUUAGAUUUCUAACUUUGGAUCAUGAUCUGGUCAAAGAACAGUUUCAGGCGGGCAGUUUGACUGGGGCGGUCGCCUCCCAAAUGGUAACGGAGGCGUACAAAGGUUUCCUCUGAACGGGUAGAGAUCGUAUCUAGAGUGUAAAGGCAUAAGGAAGCUUGACUGUGAGACCUACAAGUCGAGCAGGGACGAAAGUCGGUCUUAGUGAUCUGACGGUGCUGAGUGGAAAGGCCGUCACUCAACGGAUAAAAGUUACUCUAGGAUAACAGGCUGAUCUCCCCCAAGAGUUCACAUCGACGGGGAGGUUUGGCACCUCGAUGUCGGCUCAUCGCAUCCUGGGGCGGUAGUACGUCCCAAGGGUUGGGCUGUUCGCCCAUGAAAGCGGUACGCGAGCUGGGUUCAGAACGUCGUGAGACAGUUCGGUCCAUAUCCGGUGUAGGCGUUAGAAUAUUGAGAGGAGCCUUCUCUAGUACGAGAGGACCGAGAAGGACAUACCUCUGGUGUACCAGUUAUCGUGCCAACGGUAAACGCUGGGUUGCUAUGUAUGGAGAGGAUAACCGCUGAAAGCAUCAAAGUGGGAAGCCCACCUCAAGAU
RNAcentral lists this ribosomal RNA (1232 nucleotides) under metagenome. RNAcentral describes it as "bacterial LSU rRNA". It matches the Rfam family "Bacterial large subunit ribosomal RNA", at positions 1564 to 2805 of the family's 2925-position model. The record is from RNAcentral.